This 119-nucleotide small RNA is filed under the name Escherichia coli. RNAcentral's name for it is "RtT sRNA". It matches the Rfam family "RtT RNA". From Rfam's summary of the family: This family represents a bacterial cis-regulatory element known as RtT RNA. The exact function of RtT is unknown although it is thought that it may be involved in changing the cellular response in relation to amino acid starvation. Lineage: Bacteria; Pseudomonadati; Pseudomonadota; Gammaproteobacteria; Enterobacterales; Enterobacteriaceae. The record is from RNAcentral.
GGGGAAGGAUGAGAAGCUUCGACCAAGGUUCGACUCGAGCGCCAGCGAGAGAGCGUGGCCGCAGGCAACGACCCGAAGGGCGAAGCGCGCAGCGCUGAGUAAUCCUUCCCCCACCACCA